GACGAACGCUGGCGGCGUGCUUAACACAUGCAAGUCGAACGGAAAGGCCUCUUUCGGGGGGUACUCGAGUGGCGAACGGGUGAGUAACACGUGAGUAACCUGCCCUUGACUUUGGGAUAACUUCAGGAAACUGGGGCUAAUACCGGAUAGGAGCUCCUGCUGCAUGGUGGGGGUUGGAAAGUUUCGGCGGUUGGGGAUGGACUCGCGGCUUAUCAGCUUGUUGGUGGGGUAGUGGCUUACCAAGGCUUUGACGGGUAGCCGGCCUGAGAGGGUGACCGGCCACAUUGGGACUGAGAUACGGCCCAGACUCCUACGGGAGGCAGCAGUGGGGAAUAUUGCACAAUGGGUGGAAGCCUGAUGCAGCAACGCCGUGUGCGGGAUGACGGCCUUCGGGUUGGAAACCGCUUUCGCUCAUGACGAAGCUUUGUGUGACGGUAGUGGGUAAAGAAGCACCGGCCAGCUACGUG
Molecule: ribosomal RNA, 467 nt
Filed under: uncultured bacterium
Lineage: Bacteria
Description: partial 16S ribosomal RNA
Rfam family: Bacterial small subunit ribosomal RNA
Source: RNAcentral